Non-coding RNA from Podarcis lilfordi (Lilford's wall lizard), 99 nucleotides. The record is from the annotation of a GenBank genome assembly. NCBI's taxonomy places the organism in Eukaryota, Metazoa, Chordata, Lepidosauria, Squamata, Lacertidae.
AUAGCCGAGCGUCACCUCCUCUCCAGCCGGGAGAGGGUCGCGGGGGGCUUCUUUAGCCCCCCACGUGCUCUCCCGACUGGAGAGGUGAUGCGCGGCUAU